GACGAACGCUGGCGGCGUGCUUAACACAUGCAAGUCGAACGGAAAGGCCCUGCUUUUGUGGGGUGCUCGAGUGGCGAACGGGUGAGUAACACGUGAGUAACCUGCCCUUGUCUUUGGGAUAACUUCAGGAAACUGGGGCUAAUACCGGAUAGGAGCUCCUGCUGCAUGGUGGGGGUUGGAAAGUUUCGGCGGUUGGGGAUGGACUCGCGGCUUAUCAGCUUGUUGGGGGGGUAGUGGCUUACCAAGGCUUUGACGGCUAGCCGGCCUGAGAGGGUUACCGGCCACAUUGGGACUAAGAUAGGGCGCAGACUGCUACGGUAGGCAGCAGUGGGGAAUAUUGCACAAUGGGCGGACGUCUGAUGCAGCAACGCCGCGUGCGGGAUGACGGCCUUUGGGUUGUAAACCGAUUUCGAAUGUGACGAAGCGUGAGUGACGGUAAUGGGUAAAGAAGCACCGGCUAACUACGUG
Molecule: ribosomal RNA, 468 nt
Filed under: uncultured bacterium
Lineage: Bacteria
Description: partial 16S ribosomal RNA
Rfam family: Bacterial small subunit ribosomal RNA
Source: RNAcentral